AUUGAACGCUGGCGGCAGGCCUAACACAUGCAAGUCGAACGGUAGCACAGAGAGCUUGCUCUCGGGUGACGAGUGGCGGACGGGUGAGUAAUGUCUGGGAAACUGCCUGAUGGAGGGGGAUAACUACUGGAAACGGUAGCUAAUACCGCAUAACGUCGCAAGACCAAAGAGGGGGACCUUCGGGCCUCUUGCCAUCAGAUGUGCCCAGAUGGGAUUAGCUAGUAGGUGGGGUAAUGGCUCACCUAGGCGACGAUCCCUAGCUGGUCUGAGAGGAUGACCAGCCACACUGGAACUGAGACACGGUCCAGACUCCUACGGGAGGCAGCAGUGGGGAAUAUUGCACAAUGGGCGCAAGCCUGAUGCAGCCAUGCCGCGUGUAUGAAGAAGGCCUUCGGGUUGUAAAGUACUUUCAGCGGGGAGGAAGGUGUUGUGGUUAAUAACCACAGCAAUUGACGUUACCCGCAGAAGAAGCACCGGCUAACUCCGUGCCAGCAGCCGCGGUAAUACGGAGGGUGCAAGCGUUAAUCGGAAUUACUGGGCGUAAAGCGCACGCAGGCGGUCUGUCAAGUCGGAUGUGAAAUCCCCGGGCUCAACCUGGGAACUGCAUUCGAAACUGGCAGGCUAGAGUCUUGUAGAGGGGGGUAGAAUUCCAGGUGUAGCGGUGAAAUGCGUAGAGAUCUGGAGGAAUACCGGUGGCGAAGGCGGCCCCCUGGACAAAGACUGACGCUCAGGUGCGAAAGCGUGGGGAGCAAACAGGAUUAGAUACCCUGGUAGUCCACGCCGUAAACGAUGUCGACUUGGAGGUUGUGCCCUUGAGGCGUGGCUUCCGGAGCUAACGCGUUAAGUCGACCGCCUGGGGAGUACGGCCGCAAGGUUAAAACUCAAAUGAAUUGACGGGGGCCCGCACAAGCGGUGGAGCAUGUGGUUUAAUUCGAUGCAACGCGAAGAACCUUACCUACUCUUGACAUCCAGAGAACUUUCCAGAGAUGGAUUGGUGCCUUCGGGAACUCUGAGACAGGUGCUGCAUGGCUGUCGUCAGCUCGUGUUGUGAAAUGUUGGGUUAAGUCCCGCAACGAGCGCAACCCUUAUCCUUUGUUGCCAGCGGUCCGGCCGGGAACUCAAAGGAGACUGCCAGUGAUAAACUGGAGGAAGGUGGGGAUGACGUCAAGUCAUCAUGGCCCUUACGAGUAGGGCUACACACGUGCUACAAUGGCGCAUACAAAGAGAAGCGACCUCGCGAGAGCAAGCGGACCUCAUAAAGUGCGUCGUAGUCCGGAUUGGAGUCUGCAACUCGACUCCAUGAAGUCGGAAUCGCUAGUAAUCGUAGAUCAGAAUGCUACGGUGAAUACGUUCCCGGGCCUUGUACACACCGCCCGUCACACCAUGGGAGUGGGUUGCAAAAGAAGUAGGUAGCUUAACCUUCGGGAGGGCGCUUACCACUUUGUGAUUCAUGACGGGGG
This 1460-nucleotide ribosomal RNA is filed under the name uncultured bacterium. RNAcentral's name for it is "bacterial SSU rRNA". It matches the Rfam family "Bacterial small subunit ribosomal RNA". The record is from RNAcentral.